This 1468-nucleotide ribosomal RNA is filed under the name Campylobacter jejuni. RNAcentral's name for it is "partial 23S ribosomal RNA". It matches the Rfam family "Bacterial large subunit ribosomal RNA", at positions 1 to 1497 of the family's 2925-position model. The record is from RNAcentral. Lineage: Bacteria; Pseudomonadati; Campylobacterota; Epsilonproteobacteria; Campylobacterales; Campylobacteraceae.
AGGUAAGCUACUAAGAGCGAAUGGUGGAUGCCUUGACUGGUAAAGGCGAUGAAGGACGUACUAGACUGCGAUAAGCUACGGGGAGCUGUCAAGAAGCUUUGAUCCGUAGAUUUCCGAAUGGGGCAACCCAAUGUAUAGAGAUAUACAUUACCUAUAUAGGAGCGAACGAGGGGAAUUGAAACAUCUUAGUACCCUCAGGAAAAGAAAUCAAUAGAGAUUGCGUCAGUAGCGGCGAGCGAAAGCGCAAGAGGGCAAACCCAGUGCUUGCACUGGGGGUUGUAGGACUGCAAUGUGCAAGAGGUAAGUUUAGCAGAACAUUCUGGAAAGUAUAGCCAUAGAGGGUGAUAGUCCCGUAUGCGAAAAACAAACCUUAGCUAGCAGUAUCCUGAGUAGGGCGGGACACGAGGAAUCCUGUCUGAAUCCGGGUCGACCACGAUCCAACCCUAAAUACUAAUACCAGAUCGAUAGUGCACAAGUACCGUGAGGGAAAGGUGAAAAGAACUGAGGUGAUCAGAGUGAAAUAGAACCUGAAACCAUUUGCUUACAAUCAUUCAGAGCCCUAUGUAGCAAUACAGGGUGAUGGACUGCCUUUUGCAUAAUGAGCCUGCGAGUUGUGGUGUCUGGCAAGGUUAAGCAAACGCGAAGCCGUAGCGAAAGCGAGUCUGAAUAGGGCGCUUAGUCAGAUGCUGCAGACCCGAAACGAAGUGAUCUAUCCAUGAGCAAGUUGAAGCUAGUGUAAGAACUAGUGGAGGACUGAACCCAUAGGCGUUGAAAAGCCCCGGGAUGACUUGUGGAUAGGGGUGAAAGGCCAAUCAAACUUCGUGAUAGCUGGUUCUCUCCGAAAUAUAUUUAGGUAUAGCGUUGUGUCGUAAUAUAAGGGGGUAGAGCACUGAAUGGGCUAGGGCAUACACCAAUGUACCAAACCCUAUCAAACUCCGAAUACCUUAUAUGUAAUCACAGCAGUCAGGCGGCGAGUGAUAAAAUCCGUCGUCAAGAGGGAAACAACCCAGACUACCAGCUAAGGUCCCUAAGUCUUACUUAAGUGGAAAACGAUGUGAAGUUACUUAAACAACCAGGAGGUUGGCUUAGAAGCAGCCAUCCUUUAAAGAAAGCGUAAUAGCUCACUGGUCUAGUGAUUUUGCGCGGAAAAUAUAACGGGGCUAAAGUAAGUACCGAAGCUGUAGACUUAGUUUACUAAGUGGUAGGAGAGCGUUCUAUUUGCGUCGAAGGUAUACCGGUAAGGAGUGCUGGAGCGAAUAGAAGUGAGCAUGCAGGCAUGAGUAGCGAUAAUUAAUGUGAGAAUCAUUAACGCCGUAAACCCAAGGUUUCCUACGCGAUGCUCGUCAUCGUAGGGUUAGUCGGGUCCUAAGUCGAGUCCGAAAGGGGUAGACGAUGGCAAAUUGGUUAAUAUUCCAAUACCAACAUUAGUGUGCGAUGGAAGGACGCUUAGGGCUAAGGGGGCUAGCGG